CAAUGUAAAGGUUGUAGCUCCUAUAAAUUGUAUAAGUGAAAACAUGUAUUAAAAUAAUGCAAAUAUUAAAGGAACAGUUAACCCCCAAAUAAAAAUCGUCAUCCUUUACUCACCUCUUGUCAUUUCAAAUCUUUAUGGCUUUCUUCUUCAGAACACUGUAGAAGAUAUUUUGAAGAAGGAUGGUAACCAAACAACGACGGUGCCCAUUGGUUUGGUGUCUAUAUAAUAGAAGUGAAUGAGGACCAGCAUUGUUCGGUCACCAACAUUCUUCAAAAUAAUUUUUUUGUGUGUCAUGCUGAAGAAAGAAAGCUAUAUAGGUUUAAAAUAACAAGAGUGAGUGAAUGAUGACAGAAUGUUCAUUUUUGGAUAAACUAUCCCUUUAAUUGAUUUCUGUACCUAAUAUACAAUAAUUUGUAUCUGUUUGUAGGUCUCGUUAGGAAUGCUGCACUCAUUUUAUUGCCAGCACUAUUUAAAGAAAACGCCAGCUUCCUCUACUGUGUAGAUAGUGAACCCAAAGGUGCUACACCAACCAUAGUGUUUAACGGCUCUCCUGAUCCCCUCAAGGCUGAAAGUGUCAGCAUUAUAAUGGACAAUGUGAACAUCAUAAGAGAGGCAGACAUUGACAUGACACAGGCUGUGGAAUGCCUAUUUGCAGUCUAUUUUCUCUUCAAUGUGCAGUACCCGGUUGACAUUAAGCACACAAUGACUUUUAUUUAAAAAUAUAUGCUUAACCUUAGACAACAGCACGGCAAAAGAACACCAAUUCAUGUACUGAAAAUGUAUAGUCAACUUGUGUAAAUUGUAGAGCUAUUUAAUAGUUGUUUUAACUGUUCAUGUAUUGAUUUUUAUCUGCACUGUUAAAUAUAAAAAAUGAUUUGUUUUUCCUAAUUUCAGAGAUAUAUGUAAAAGUGAAGUACUGUAUAUGUACGUAAACAAGCUUAUGUAUGUUUAUUGCAAAGUGAAAAUGCUUAAAUGAAAUAAUUCAAACUAAAUGGUUAAAUGUAAUUAAACAUCUUAAAUAUGAAAUUUGCUGUCUAAUACAGAGUAUACAGAGGUGUAAUUUUAAAUGACACUAAAUUUUUUGUAUAAACAGUUGAAUAAAUUUAAACAUUUUAAAUUUUCUGGAUUGUUUAUAUUUUCUUAUUCAAUAAUAAUUUUAACUUGUUUAAUAAUAAAGAACUCUUAAAUGGUUCUAUAUAGAACCAUCUAACUUGGAUUCAAAGAACCAUUUGGGGUUCUUUUUAUGGAACCCAUUAAAGUGGUUCUAUAUAGAACCAUUUUGGAGUUCCAUAUAUGAAGCGGGUGAUAGAACCAUUUUUGGUUCUAAAUAGAACCAUUUCUUUUAAGAGUGUAGGACCUUGGUUUCCAAAUCAAAUACAAAACUUGCAACAGUCCAGUUCUUCUUCUCCUUAGCCCAGGUAAGACGCCUCUGACGUUGUCUGUGAUACAGGAGUGAAUUAACAAGAGGAAUAUGAUAAUACAAUAAGUCACUUUUAUAAAAGGUUUCCUAAUACUAUAGUUAAUAUAUAGUUAACUCCGGAUUCAAGAAUUAGCCUUUUAUUAGUGAAAC
This is a long non-coding RNA of Carassius auratus (goldfish), 1570 nucleotides long. Lineage: Eukaryota; Metazoa; Chordata; Actinopteri; Cypriniformes; Cyprinidae. The record is from Ensembl.